AAUCACAUAAUGUUAUCCGUGUCAUCCUUACUCGGUUUAUGAUUGUCCAGUACAGGAAUAUGCAAUAUUUUUUUUUAAAUAGUUAAUAACUAUACAAUGUCAUAGUACUUAUGGGAGGAAAAAAAAAUUAAAAAAACCUAUAAUAUAAAAAUUAAUUUAAUGAUAAAAUGCGCUCGCGUAAAAUAAAUUGGUUUGCAUAUACACUAUGAAACGAAUCGCUGAGAGUAUUGACCUUUCAUAAGUGGCGAUGGAAUAUCGUAUAGUUCGAAUGUACA
Molecule: non-coding RNA, 275 nt
Organism: Cinara cedri
Lineage: Eukaryota; Metazoa; Arthropoda; Insecta; Hemiptera; Aphididae
Source: the annotation of a GenBank genome assembly